AGGUGGGGCUGAUGACUGGGGUGAAGUCGUAACAAGGUAGCCGUACCGGAAGGUGCGGCUGGAUCACCUCCUAACAGGGAGACAAACAACGAUUUUGAUGUCUGAGUUUUUUUAUUCUUAGGCCAAAAUCCUGUCACCUUAGGUCGAUCGGUACCUCAACUUUGAAGCUAAGAGUAUUCAGCAAUGGAUAUCUGCUUAGUGGAAAUUUUUAGUUCCUAAACUUUGUCUAGUUCACAACCCAUUAGGGAUGAGACUCCUGGGCCAUUAGCUCAGGUGGUUAGAGCGCACCCCUGAUAAGGGUGAGGUCCCUGGUUCAAGUCCAGGAUGGCCCAUUCGGUGUAGGGGGUUUAGCUCAGUUGGUAGAGCGCCUGCUUUGCAAGCAGGAUGUCAGGAGUUCGAGUCUCCUAACCUCCACUGACUACCAAAAUCCCCAUCUCCAAAACCUGGAGUAUGAACUCGUAUGGAUUGUGAUUUAGAUAUGUCCGCUAGAUGACCCUAGCUUCUUGUCAUUUUAAGGCAUGGAAAAAAUUCCAUGAUAUUUAAUUGAUAGGAUGCUGGGCUCGAUUCAAUGUAUUGAGAGAUCAAUGCAUUGUUUUGAUGUCUGGUCGAACCUUGACAACUGCAUAGUAAGUCUGGAAAGAAUAAAGCAUCUUUAUGGAUGCAUCAUUCUUGAGUGUUAAUUCACGAUGGGGUGGUGUUAAUUCUAAAGCAAGAGCCGAGACUCCAGCAUGUUCUUUCAAAUGUGUCGAGCAUUUGAGAGUUUGAUUUUAAUUUCUAUUUUUAGAAGUUAGAAGAAUCUGUUUCAACGACAGCAAGCGUGUUGGAGAUACAUUGGUCAAGCUACAAAGGGCUCACGGC
RNAcentral lists this unclassified non-coding RNA (858 nucleotides) under uncultured Synechococcus sp. Its description in RNAcentral is "partial may contain 16S ribosomal RNA, 16S-23S ribosomal RNA intergenic spacer, and 23S ribosomal RNA". The stretch from base 342 to 414 matches the Rfam family "tRNA". The record is from RNAcentral. Lineage: Bacteria; Bacillati; Cyanobacteriota; Cyanophyceae; Synechococcales; Synechococcaceae.